UUAUUCCUGGUGGUGGAAUGUAUCUCAGGGGUAGGGUGUUUGCCUAGCAUGUGCUCAUGAGGUCCUGGGUUCUAUCCCCCACACCAUGAGUAGGGGCCAUUAAAACAGUGU
This 111-nucleotide microRNA precursor is filed under the name Mus pahari (shrew mouse). RNAcentral describes it as "miRNA (MGP_PahariEiJ_G0007523.1)". Lineage: Eukaryota; Metazoa; Chordata; Mammalia; Rodentia; Muridae. The record is from RNAcentral.